AGAGUUUGAUCCUGGCUCAGGAUGAACGCUAGCUACAGGCUUAACACAUGCAAGUCGAGGGGCAGCAUUAUCGAAGCUUGCUUUGAUAGAUGGCGACCGGCGCACGGGUGCGUAACACGUAUCCAAUCUACCCAUGGCUCAGGGAUAGCCUUUCGAAAGAAAGAUUAAUACCUGAUGGUUUCAUGAGUCCGCAUGGACUUAUGAAUAAAGAUUUAUCGGCGAUGGAUGAGGAUGCGUCCGAUUAGCUUGUUGGCGGGGUAACGGCCCACCAAGGCGACGAUCGGUAGGGGCUCUGAGAGGAGGAUCCCCACAUUGGAACUGAGACACGGUCCAAACUCCUACGGGAGGCAGCAGUGAGGAAUAUUGGUCAAUGGGCGAGAGCCUGAACCAGCCAAGUAGCGUGAGGGAUGACUGCCCUAUGGGUUGUAAACCUCUUUUGUUUGGGAAUAAAGUGAGCCACGUGUGGCUUUUUGUAUGUACCUUACGAAUAAGCAUCGGCUAAUUCCGUGCCAGCAGCCGCGGUAAUACGGAAGAUGCGAGCGUUAUCCCGGAUUUAUUGGGUUUAAAGGGAGCGUAGGCGGGUCUUUAAGCCCAGCGGUCAAAUGUCAUGGCCCAACCUUGGCAUGCCGUUGGAACUGUUGGCCUUGAAUACACACAAGGAAGGUGGAAUUCGUCGUGUAGCGGUGAAAUGCUUAGAUAUGACGAAGAACUCCGAUUGCGAAGGCAGCCUUCUGGGGUGCGAUUGACGCUGAGGCUCGAAA
Molecule: ribosomal RNA, 761 nt
Filed under: uncultured bacterium
Lineage: Bacteria
Description: bacterial SSU rRNA
Rfam family: Bacterial small subunit ribosomal RNA
Source: RNAcentral